Molecule: ribosomal RNA, 253 nt
Filed under: uncultured bacterium
Lineage: Bacteria
Description: partial 16S ribosomal RNA
Rfam family: Bacterial small subunit ribosomal RNA
Source: RNAcentral
UACGAAGGGGGCUAGCGUUGUUCGGAUUUACUGGGCGUAAAGCGCACGUAGGCGGAUCGUUAAGUCGGGGGUGAAAUCCUGGAGCUCAACUCCAGAACUGCCUUCGAUACUGGCGAUCUAGAGUCCGGAAGAGGUGAGUGGAACUCCUAGUGUAGAGGUGGAAUUCGUAGAUAUUAGGAAGAACACCAGUGGCGAAGGCGGCUCACUGGGCCGGUACUGACGCUGAGGUGCGAAAGCGUGGGGAGCAAACAGG